RNAcentral lists this ribosomal RNA (510 nucleotides) under uncultured bacterium. RNAcentral's name for it is "partial 16S ribosomal RNA". It matches the Rfam family "Bacterial small subunit ribosomal RNA", at positions 28 to 507 of the family's 1533-position model. The record is from RNAcentral.
GACGAACGCUGGCGGCGUGCUUAACACAUGCAAGUCGAACGAAGAGCGACGGAAGCUUGCUUCUAUCAAUCUUAGUGGCGAACGGGUGAGUAACGCGUAAUCAACCUGCCCUUCAGAGGGGGACAACAGUUGGAAACGACUGCUAAUACCGCAUACGAUCUAAUCUCGGCAUCGAGGAUGGAUGAAAGGUGGCCUCUACAUGUAAGCUAUCACUGAAGGAGGGGAUUGCGUCUGAUUAGCUAGUUGGAGGGGUAACGGCCCACCAAGGCGAUGAUCAGUAGCCGGUCUGAGAGGAUGAACGGCCACAUUGGGACUGAGACACGGCCCAGACUCCUACGGGAGGCAGCAGUGGGGAAUCUUCCGCAAUGGACGAAAGUCUGACGGAGCAACGCCGCGUGAGUGAUGACGGCCUUCGGGUUGUAAAGCUCUGCUAAUCGGGACGAAAGGCCUUCUUGCGAAUAGUGAGAAGGAUUGACGGUACCGGAAUAGAAAGCCACGGCUAACUACGUG